RNAcentral lists this ribosomal RNA (301 nucleotides) under uncultured bacterium. RNAcentral describes it as "partial 16S ribosomal RNA". It matches the Rfam family "Bacterial small subunit ribosomal RNA", at positions 509 to 807 of the family's 1533-position model. The record is from RNAcentral.
CAGUCGCCGCGGGAAUACAGAGGGUGCAAGCGUUAAUCGGAAUUACUGGGCGUAAAGCGCGCGUAGGUGGUUUGUUAAGUUGGAUGUGAAAGCCCCGGGCUCAACCUGGGAACUGCAUCCAAAACUGGCAAGCUAGAGUACGGUAGAAGGUGGUGGAAUUUCCUGUGUAGCGGUGAAAUGCGUAGAUAUAGGAAGGAACACCAGUGGCGAAGGCGACCACCUGGACUGAUACUGACACUGAGGUGCGAAAGCGUGGGGAGCAAACAGGAUUAGAUACCCCUGUAGUCCCUGUAUCUUAUAC